RNAcentral lists this long non-coding RNA (505 nucleotides) under Olea europaea subsp. europaea. Lineage: Eukaryota; Viridiplantae; Streptophyta; Magnoliopsida; Lamiales; Oleaceae. The record is from RNAcentral.
GUGUGAUUGAAAAUGAGUACUGUAGAAAAAAUAAUGUGAUAGAAUGAUUGUCAAACAAACGCAUAAAUAAAUUGUUGAUAGUAAAAGAAAAUUGUCAACCUCGUCCACAUUUGGGGUCCAAAAUUUCUAAACCUCCAACCUAGCUUCUAACCAUAGAACAAAAAGAAACUAGACUAAUACAACCUUUUUGUCCAAGAGCGAAUUAAAAAACAAAAACAAAAAAAAAUCCAAGUAAGAGAGGGUUGCAUCUUGUGAUUUCCUCUGUUCGCUGAAUUGGAGAACGAGUUUUGACAAACUUCAAGACCAAGCGAAGUUUGCAGUAGAAGAAACGAACUAUGAUAUAUCAGUUCAACAUCAGGCAAGUUCACAAGAACCAUAAACGCAGGGACUUUCUGUCUUGUGGCCAUAUUCACCUUAAUAGUCUACCAUUUCAGGAAGCUCGAGUUUUCCAGCAUAGACAUACUGCAUCUCUGCCUUCCAUGUCUGCAGAAGAGAGAAUCAUUUU